AGGAUGAACGCUGGCGGCGUGCUUAACACAUGCAAGUCGAACGGAAGUAGUAAUACUUCAGUGGCGCACGGGUGAGGAACACGUAGCUCAUCUGCCCUCAAGUGUGGGAUAACGGUCCGAAAGGAUUGCUAAUACCGCAUAAGCUCCCGAGUUGUAGAGGCUUGGGAGAAAAGGAGCAAUUCGCUUGAGGAGGAGGCUGCGGCCCAUCAGGUAGUUGGUGCGGUAAAGGCGCACCAAGCCGACGACGGGUAGGGGACCUGAGAGGGUGACCCCCCACACUGGGACUGAGACACGGCCCAGACUCCUACGGGAGGCAGCAGUGAGGAAUAUUGCCCAAUGGGCGAAAGCCUGAGGCAGCGACGCCGCGUGGGUGAAGAAGGCCUUCGGGUCGUAAAGCCCUUUUCUGUGUGACGAGAACGGACGGUAGCACAGGAAAAGUCUCGGCUAACUACGUGCCAGCAGCCGC
This 466-nucleotide ribosomal RNA is filed under the name uncultured bacterium. Its description in RNAcentral is "SSU rRNA". It matches the Rfam family "Bacterial small subunit ribosomal RNA", at positions 26 to 518 of the family's 1533-position model. The record is from RNAcentral.